GUGAGGAAUAUUGGUCAAUGGGCGAGAGCCUGAACCAGCCAAGUAGCGUGAGGGAUGACUGCCCUAUGGGUUGUAAACCUCUUUUGCAGGGGGGUAAAGUGGUUCACGUGUGGACCAUUGCAAGUACCCUGCGAAUAAGGAUCGGCUAACUCCGUGCCAGCAGCCGCGGUAAUACGGAGGAUCCGAGCGUUAUCCGGAUUUAUUGGGUUUAAAGGGAGCGUAGGCGGGGGUUUAAGUCAGCUGUGAAAUGCCGUGGCCCAACCAUGGAACUGCAGUUGAAACUGGACCUCUUGAGAGUACAUAAGGAAGGCGGAAUUCGUGGUGUAGCGGUGAAAUGCAUAGAUAUCACGAAGAACUCCGAUUGCGAAGGCAGCUUUCCGGGGUACAUCUGACGCUGAAGCUCGAAAGUGCGGGAAUCAAACAGGAUUAGAAACCCUUGUAGUCC
Molecule: ribosomal RNA, 445 nt
Filed under: uncultured bacterium
Lineage: Bacteria
Description: partial 16S ribosomal RNA
Rfam family: Bacterial small subunit ribosomal RNA
Source: RNAcentral